Molecule: non-coding RNA, 70 nt
Organism: Megalops atlanticus (tarpon)
Lineage: Eukaryota; Metazoa; Chordata; Actinopteri; Elopiformes; Megalopidae
Source: the annotation of a GenBank genome assembly
GGCAGUAUAGCACAGUGGUAAGGAGUGAGUCUUGAAAUCACAAGGUUGCUGGUUCGAUUCCCCACUGGGG